RNAcentral lists this ribosomal RNA (252 nucleotides) under uncultured bacterium. Its description in RNAcentral is "partial 16S ribosomal RNA". It matches the Rfam family "Bacterial small subunit ribosomal RNA", at positions 524 to 776 of the family's 1533-position model. The record is from RNAcentral.
UACAGAGGGUGCAAGCGUUGUUCGGAAUUACUGGGCGUAAAGCGCGUGUAGGUGGCGGUGUAAGUCGGGUGUGAAUCCCUCGGCUCAACCGAGGAAGUGCACUCGAUACUGUGUCGCUUGAGUGUUGGAGGGGAUGGCGGAAUUCCCGGUGUAGAGGUGAAAUUCGUAGAUAUCGGGAGGAACACCUGUGGCGAAGGCGGCCAUCUGGACAACUACUGACACUGAGACGCGAAAGCGUGGGUAGCAAACAGG